Molecule: transfer RNA, 74 nt
Filed under: Synechococcus sp.
Lineage: Bacteria; Bacillati; Cyanobacteriota; Cyanophyceae; Synechococcales; Synechococcaceae
Description: tRNA-Arg
Rfam family: tRNA
About the family: Transfer RNA (tRNA) molecules are approximately 80 nucleotides in length. Their secondary structure includes four short double-helical elements and three loops (D, anti-codon, and T loops). Further hydrogen bonds mediate the characteristic L-shaped molecular structure. tRNAs have two regions of fundamental functional importance: the anti-codon, which is responsible for specific mRNA codon recognition, and the 3' end, to which the tRNAs corresponding amino acid is attached (by aminoacyl-tRNA synthetases). tRNAs cope with the degeneracy of the genetic code in two manners: having more than one tRNA (with a specific anti-codon) for a particular amino acid; and 'wobble' base-pairing, i.e. permitting non-standard base-pairing at the 3rd anti-codon position.
Source: RNAcentral
GCUCCCUUAGCUCAGCUGGAUAGAGCAACUGCCUUCUAAGCAGUCGGCCGUAGGUUCAAAUCCUACAGGGGGCG